This is a long non-coding RNA of Rhipicephalus sanguineus (brown dog tick), 678 nucleotides long. RefSeq lists it as uncharacterized. The record is from RefSeq and is a predicted model, not a curated record. The transcript is spliced from 4 exons. NCBI's taxonomy places the organism in Eukaryota, Metazoa, Arthropoda, Arachnida, Ixodida, Ixodidae.
GCACAUGUGCUGUGCAGUGACAUAUUACCGUGUUGAUAGAUAUUGUGUGCGUUUAUUGUGUGCUUAUCGUACUUCACAUUCGUCGACUGGAUAUUUUGCGCGUUUCGGAACGUCCUCCCGCAUUGAUCAAGUGGGGGAUGAUGCAUCGUCGUUCGUCGCCACUCAGAACAGCCUCAUCGGACGCGCUGCUUUGUCUCCGCGCUCAAAAGUGCUUUCUUGCUUCGUUUAUCGAUUACCCACGUUAAUCGCGUGAUUCAAUAUCGAGUGUACCUCCAAAGACAAUCCACUUCCCAGUGUUGUGACAAGCGGCGACCGCGGUUGUACAGGAGCGGAAGCGUGAGCCUUUUGACGAGCGACUGUGAAGAAUGCAAAGCCAGUGCCAAACUUCGGAACCGAUAGCCCGGGCGGCGUGUUGGCACAGCGAGGAUGAGAACGAGAGACCCGAUAGACAGCGAUGACAGCUGUUCACGGCACCGACACAGAGGACAUAUUGCAGUGCAAGAUAGGAGCGGUCUUCCUGCAAGCCCAGACAAGCCAUAUUGAGUGGUUUCAAAUACAGCAACUGUACCACCACGACAGUGCAGCACAAGAGACCCUAUCGUCAGUGCUGAGCCAGAAAUUAAAUAGAAAAGCGCUUUCUCCUGAAAUCUUUCGUCUGGUUUUAUUUCGUUUGUUUGU